UGACAGGGAUUUCUUUCCUGAGUAGAGUUAGCAAAAGGCAAAACUCUAGACGCCCAACUGACCUCAUUAAAUUUCAAAGGAUCAUUUAGACGCUUCAAGGCAGGACCCUGUUCCUGCCCAACAGUGCCUCGCUAUUGUCUAGCACAGGCAGAUUUGCAAAGGAAGCAGGGGCAAGGCUGGGACUAGAUGGCGAUUGGGAGAAUCAACCCAGCAAACGUCAUUAGCCUGCUCAGCCACCUUGGCAGCGGCAGUGGCACUGAUUUCAGUCAAGAUGUCAGGGUGCAUUGCUGUGACUGUUGCAUUAGCUUGGGCAGAAUGAUUAGUUAGAUGCAAACUUAAUGAGAACACAGCAAAACCUUCCUUACCAAGCUACAGAGGUUAGUCACUGCAGGUCGGUUUACUUUAGGGUAAGUAAUCCGUUUGAACUCAUGACUAGCCACUUUAAACUAAAGGAAGGCUAUUUCUCAAAAGUUUGGUGGAUUUUCACUGUAAUUAUUGUUUACAAAAUAAAUUUUCACUCAGGCAUCAGAAAGAGUGCCUCUUAGACACCAAUUUCUGUUGCUCAUUUUCAAACACGGCACUAAGCCCAUGAUGCAAUUAUCUUUCCCAAAUGAAUCCUGCCUAUCAUUUCACUGUGAAGUUUUUAAAUGAUUUAUCUGGUUAGAUCAUAAUACAUUGAAUAACACUAUAGUUUUUAGUUCCUACAGCUUACCAUAAAUCACAAGUCAUUUUUCACUCACAGCUUCCAGUUUCUGAGACAGUGUAGAAAGAAAAAUCAUAUUUUACAAUCAGUAGAAGUUAAGGCUGGAGGAAAUGAAGAGUUUUAUCCAAGUUCACCACCAUCAGGAGCACUGAUUUUUCAGUCUGGCACACUUAGGCCUGGACCACACUUGCCUUUCACAAGCAGGAGAGCCUUCUGUUCAAACGAGUGUUUCUGAAGGUAUUCUAGAAACAAAAUCAGCAGCCAGUGUUGUGGAUGAGAAGCCACUCAAGUCCAGCAGAAGGAACAAUACAAUAAUCAUAUUUGUCAGCAGAAACCGCCCACCAUUGUAUAUCUGCAUUAAAGCAGUGAAGAUAGGAAGAUAAUGGUGACUUUGACUUGGAAUGAUCAUUUUGGCUACAAAAGGAACAAAAAUUGAUGCAGCUGAUUUGGGUUUGGCUACACAUAAUCCAAUUUGGACUGUAAGGCUUCCAGAGGUGGGACUGAGACACCAACCAAGCCAGAAAUCCUUCAACCUACAACCUACCCUGCCUGCAAAACGUGGUGGGCAAUGAUGACUCUGAGCUGAUGGUAGUGGCUAACUGAUGACUAGUCAAACCUGAGGUCCACUCCACAAGAGGGAGCCCAGGCCUGACAAGGCCUCUCUUACCAGGAACAGGAAGCUGGUUGGCCUAGAGACCUAGGCUAGAACCGAACAGGACGGGCAAAAACAAGACAACAACAACAACAGAAACAAACCAACCAGCAAGCAAACA
Molecule: long non-coding RNA, 1476 nt
Organism: Onychomys torridus (southern grasshopper mouse)
Lineage: Eukaryota; Metazoa; Chordata; Mammalia; Rodentia; Cricetidae
Exons: 3
Source: RefSeq, a predicted model, not a curated record